This is a long non-coding RNA of Tetranychus urticae (two-spotted spider mite), 1406 nucleotides long. RefSeq lists it as uncharacterized. The record is from RefSeq and is a predicted model, not a curated record. Lineage: Eukaryota; Metazoa; Arthropoda; Arachnida; Trombidiformes; Tetranychidae.
GCUGAUCAUUUCGUUCUGUUCUGGUUCAAUUAUUGAACUUUAAUAAUCUUAUUUGUGUAAGUCAUUUUUUUGUCAUCUAUUAAAUGUAAUUGAUUUAGAUUAUCAAUAUCUUCAUGACUAUUAUUGUUAACAAAUGUGAUUUUCUUUGUUGUAUAAUGUAAGAAAAGGAAAGCUUUGUCUGUUUGGUGCUCUCUAUGUGACGGUUGUUUUGUUGAAUCUCUUAUGUAAGCCUCUUGUCUAUUGCCUGGUUAAUAAUUCUGAUCACAUUCACUUCUAAUUGGUGUUACUUCUGUGCAUUAAAAAUGUAAUAAACUUAACAGCAACAAGGUUUAACUCAACCUCAUUCCUGUAUUACCAUUUAUUAGCCAAAUUACAAGGCUCAUUGGUACAGUUAUUAAUUCAAGUUAUACCUGGUUGUCAUCAGUUGAAAAGGUGAAAAUGAAAAGUGACUUGGGUUCAAUGUUAUUUGAAUAAUAUGUUAACCAUAUUUCAAGAUUAAUUCCUGCUCUUAACUUCAACUAAUUGGAUCGGAAAGUAAUUUGACUCAACUCCAUCUCAAAUCAAGACUAAACUUUACCCAAUAUUUCAAUUAGAUGCGAUUAUCAUUUAACUUUUGCUCCACUCAAAGUGAUAUACUUAAGAAACAAUGACAAUAUUCAAUGUUUCAACAAAAUGUAAUCACAUUCGGUUAAAUGGUCAUUGGUUUUCGAUCAACAAUACUCAGUUAAUCAGUUAAUGGAGAAAGUGUAAAACUAUAACGAAAUGUUUUUGCGGUCACAGUUUUUUUCCCUUCGCUUGUCUUUGGUUAAUCUGUUUGGCCAGUUAAUAGUUUAAAUCAAUGAGAUACUUGGAGUCACAAAGCAACUCAAAACACUUUUUGAUGGACACUACUUGCAGCCAACUCCAAUCAUUUUAGCCGAAGAAAGCUUUCAUUACUUCUAGUACUCGCCUUGGCUCUAGUACUUCAGAUGAGUCUGAAUUGAAGGAAAUUAAGGUGAAUUGAGUGUGAAAAGAGUCUAAUUCGCACAUUUGAUAGAUUUGAUUCAAUUAUCAAGAAGAUUUAAUCAAAUACUUACAAAUCUGCUGAUCCAUUAGAUCCAUUCAUAGGCAAAGUUUGGUUCGUUUAAUUAUUGAAAUAUGCUCUCAAUAUGAAUCCAUAGCAUGGAUACUUUUAUCUAACAAACGGUUUAGUAAUUGUCAACAACAAUUAGAAUUUCUCUUUAUUUUUAAUGUAACUGAAAAAAUUAAAUUAAACAAUAAUCUUGCAAAUUGGCAACUGAAUACUGAAUACUAAUGUACUUUGCCAAAUAAUUUUUGUGAAAUUAUUCUGAAAGAUGAUAAAAAAAGCGUGUAACUGUAUGAAUUUCAAAAAAUAAAAGAUAUGGACCAAAACUCUUGAAUCAAUC